AGUGAACGCUGGCGGUAGGCCUAACACAUGCAAGUCGAACGGCAGCACAGUAAGAGCUUGCUCUUACGGGUGGCGAGUGGCGGACGGGUGAGGAAUACAUCGGAAUCUACUUUUUCGUGGGGGAUAACGUAGGGAAACUUACGCUAAUACCGCAUACGACCUACGGGUGAAAGCAGGGGAUCUUCGGACCUUGCGCGAUUGAAUGAGCCGAUGUCGGAUUAGCUAGUUGGCGGGGUAAAGGCCCACCAAGGCGACGAUCCGUAGCUGGUCUGAGAGGAUGAACCGCCACACUGGAACUGAGACCAGGGCCAGACUCCUAAGGGAGGGAGGAGUGGGGAAUAUUGGACAAAUGGGGCAAGCCUGAUCCAGCCAUACCGGGUGGGGGAAGAAGGGCUUCGGGUUUGUAAGCCCUUUUGUUGGGAAAGAAAAGCAGCAGGUUAAUACCCCGCUGUUCUGACGGUACCCAAAGAAUAAGCACCGGCUAACUUCGUG
Molecule: ribosomal RNA, 492 nt
Filed under: uncultured bacterium
Lineage: Bacteria
Description: partial 16S ribosomal RNA
Rfam family: Bacterial small subunit ribosomal RNA
Source: RNAcentral